ACACAGAGAGCUUUUCUAUAUAUGUCUUAGUAUUGAGUUUCAUAGGGCACAUGAAUUGAGUUUCAGCCUGAGUGUUCCUCCUUUCUUCCUGUGGCAGAAUUAAUCCCUUCUUUUAGUAUAUCUUUAUAAUACUUGAUGGCUUGUUUUGUUGUAAUAUUUAUCACAUUUUGUCAUAAUUAAUUGUUUAUAUCUGUUUACCAUUGUAGACUGUAAGCUCCUUGAGGGCAGGAAUCAUGUCUUAGUCUUAUUCAUUUUUUUUUUUUUUUAACAUCCAUAGGAUACAAUAGAAGCCUGUCACGUAGUAGGCAUUGUGUGUGAGUGUGCACAUGAGUGGUACACAUUACGUACUAAAUGAAUGAGGGAGUGAUGGGUAAAAUUAGCAUUAUAUAUUGAUGAAAAUAUAUGUAUUCUGAAAAUGUCAUUUUUUUGGUCUCUGUUUUAUGUUUGUUUAUUAAUUUGUACCCUGCCUACUUUCAAAAAGGAUUUGAGGUAUCUUGUAUGUCCCCAUGUGGGAAAUUCUCAUUGAACCUUGUAUAUGGGAUAUCAGAACUAUAAAGCUAAAUGUACUGAAGUAAUGUAGAAUAAACGUAAUUCCUUAGCAUUUUUAGACAAGUGAACAUUGGGGUUUUGACAUCAUUGAUGACAUAAUCAAUGCCUAAUCAUUCUCCCUGACCUUUAUUUCCACCAUUUUCCAUUAUACUUGAAUAUAGGGAGCCACAUACUGCUGCCUAUAUAUUAAUAGUCAUUACAUUUGUUCAGAUCUUGACUUUGUUUUAUAUUUCUCUAGUCGGCGUGGCACAAGCCUAAUGGAAGAUGAUGAAGAGCCAAUUGUUGAAGAUGUUAUGAUGUCCUCAGAAGGGAGGAUUGAGGAUCUUAAUGAGGGAAUGGAUUUUGACACCAUGGAUAUAGAUUUGCCACCAUCAAAGAACAGACGAGAGAGAACAGAACUGAAGCCUGAUUUCUUUGAUCCAGCUUCAAUUAUGGAUGAAUCAGUUCUUGGAGUGUCAAUGUUUUAAUACCAGUACACAAUUAAAUCUGUGGUGAAGUCGUUUUCUAAGUGGAAGAGGAAAUUUUAAAGUGUGGUAGAUACAGUGAAAUUCUGUACAGAUUUUUCUCUAAGGAGAAUAUGACAUGCUUAUGCUUACCAAGAUCAAGUGCAUUGAGGGGCAGUUUUGUUUGCCUGAAAAAAAGUAAAGGACAAGUAAACAAUUUGAUGAUAAGCUACAGUUUUUCUUAGAAAGUAAAUAUUUUAUUUAUGCGCUGUUAGUUGGCUUUCAAAUCGAUUAUUUCAUGCUUUUUUUUAAAAAAAAAAAAACAAAAUAACAAUCUGAAAAGGCGUUUGGUACAGAUACGAAUUCUCUUACAUUUAUUUACUGGUUGUACUAAAUAAAUAUGACCUCUGCUGGAUUUCUGUUUACAUCCAAUAAACAAUGUUAAGGAUGUAUUUAUUCCCCUACCCUGAAGAAAGUUUAGGAUAGAAUUGUUUUUAGCAUUCUAAAUUUAAAUGCUUAAAACAUCAAUCAACAAAACUUUGUUUUAAAUAUUGUAAUUGUGGAGAAAAGUAAACUUAUAAGCAGAACUUUUACAAUUUUUUCAUCUAAAAGUAUUUUAAGAUAUUUUUAAAAUCCAAGAGCUUCUCUAUACUUUUCAGAAAUAUCCAGAUGCAGUGAACUGCCAGAAGGUAACCAGUCUCAAACAUGCUUAUCCCAUUAUCAACCCUGAAAGUUUGCUUGUCCUUUAAGAUAAAAAUGUAAUGUUGUGAUAUUCCUUCCAGUAGUGCCACUGUAUUUUGUCUCCAAAUAAAAGAAGCUUAUUGUAGUAUGUUUGCAGAAAAAUUCUAAACAAAAAUUAUACAGCUUAUUAGAGUGUGGGAAUAGGGAUCUAAAUUUUAAAUAAAAUUAUAUAUAUAUAUAAAUUGGUGCUGAUUUUAUAAUUGCGCAGUUUGUUUAGUUUUUUCUUACUUUUAAAUUCCAACUUAAAAUUAUGAGGUUUCAGAAAUAUAUUGAAAGUUUAACAAUGUUUAAAAAUAGAAAAGCAUGAGUGUUCAUGCUUUAAAAUGAUUUUUAAAUUUGUAUUUUAUAUUGUUUUAUCUAUCUGUCUUUGCAAGCAGUCUUCAGGUUAAAGAUACUUCUAACAGGUUACAGUACAUUUCCUCUGUAUGUAAAUUAGAUGGGAUAAUAGAAUUCAUAACCCAUAAUAUUCUUUGAAAGCUAAGCUUUAAACUUCAUUUUAUGUCCUUUCACAAAUAAAUUAGUUUAAAACAGAAAGUGGCUACUUGCCAUUUUGACAUCAACUCAUUUUGCGAGGCUUAGGCAGCUAGACAUCGUUUAAAACAAAAUAUUAACUUAUAUUACAUGUGUAUCUAUCUUUUGUCAGUCGUCUCUCUCGGUUCUUGAGGUAUAUUAUUUUAAUCAUUCCAUGCCUUAAUAUGCUUGCAAUACAAGAAUAUCUUCAGAUGGGUGAAUACCAAAAGGCUUCCAGUUUUUAGUCAGAAAUCAACAAGCAUUGGGCUGUGGUAGCCAAAAACCAUAGGUUAGCUAAAAAGAUCAUGAUACAAUACAAUUAUUUUAUUAAGUCAUGGUUAAUAACAAGUGAAUCCAGACUUGUCUAACAGAUUUUCCAUCAACAAAUAUUGUUAUGUGCAAAAGUAUUGCCUAUGUUGUUUUACACACCACUGCAUUAACUAGAACUGCUGAGAGGACUGUAUAUAUGAUUUUAAACCUAAGUUGAUUUUUUUUCUCACUCUUGAAAGGAGUACUUCUUUGUGAAAGCAGUUCUUACAGCUUUGUUUUCAACCAGCUAAAAAUGUUUUAUAUAUUACUCUAACCUGUUGUCCUCCACAUUCUAUUGUCCUAAUUGUACUGUUUUCUGAUUUGUAUUUAUGUCUUGAGACAGUAACUUUUUGAAUAAAAAUAAACCUACAGUA
Sapajus apella (tufted capuchin) is the source of this 2926-nucleotide long non-coding RNA. RefSeq lists it as uncharacterized. The record is from RefSeq and is a predicted model, not a curated record. Lineage: Eukaryota; Metazoa; Chordata; Mammalia; Primates; Cebidae. The transcript has 3 exons.